AGGCUACGACCCCGUUCUCCUGUAAUGCGGUAGAACCUUCCCAAGGAUGCCGGAAUGCACGGACGGUGUUAGUGGAAGGACAGGAAGUUCCGGGCAGACGCGCACCAUUCUUCAUUAUAAAGAAAGCGCCAGAACGGUGCAGUCAAGAAGAUAACCUUCGUGUCCGUUUCUAUUCAUUACUACAGGCCAACUCAGAUUAAGUCUGAGGGCGGAAACAUCAACAGUGAGGACAAACCCAGCCUGCCUCUCUCCUUCCACACGGAGUCCAAGCAUACAGUCACUGGGUCCUGAUUGUGACCGCGAGGCCCAGUUUGCACCGCAGGAUCCAGAGAUGGCAUCAGUGAAGCUGGAAGACUGCAGUCAAACACUGGAGCUGAAUGUCAACAUUAAAGAUGAAGAAGAGGAGGAGAAGAUUGGGAAAUCUGUUUCUCAUGGUAAGAGCAGGUUUUAUCUCACUAAGUUUGUGCUAUUCAUUCCAAAUUCCCACUGUGUAUGAAAGUUGCAGUAGAACUGUUUCAUGAUGAACUGUUUCAAUGAGAAGGUAGAUGUUAUUUCAUGCUACUGACACUUGCAUGGUUUGACACCAGUAUUGCCAGAAUUCGUUUUACUCACUGGGCUAUCUGGAGUGAUCACUAAGUAAUUGAAGUAGUGUUUUAAAGUUAUAUGAAAUGAGCCUGUGGAGUUACUAACCCUUGUGAUAGUGAGUGGUAGGAUGACACUCCCCAUCUUACCCACUUUUAGAAAAUAUUUAUUCCCCUUUUGUAUUGCACAGCCUUCUGAUAUGAAUACACACAGUGCAUUCGGAAAGUAUUCAGACCCCUUGGCUUUUUCCACAUUUUGUUACGUUACAGCCUUAUUCUAAAAUUGAUUAAAUAAAAAAAUAUUAAUCAAUGUUCCUCACAAAGGAAACAGUUUUUUUAGAAAUGUUUGUACAUGUAUUAAAAAUUCAAAACAGAAAUACCUUUAUUUA
Salvelinus namaycush (lake trout) is the source of this 970-nucleotide long non-coding RNA. RefSeq lists it as uncharacterized. The record is from RefSeq and is a predicted model, not a curated record. The transcript is spliced from 2 exons. NCBI's taxonomy places the organism in Eukaryota, Metazoa, Chordata, Actinopteri, Salmoniformes, Salmonidae.